GAAUGGCCAAGACCAUUGUGUAAAAGGGGAGGAGUUGUGGUUUGUAUGACUAACAAUGUAGGCAGAGGAAGGUUGAGACCGGAUUGUCAUAGGUAACAGUAAUGCCUCUGGCUCGGAUGUACAUGCAUGGACGUGCGCAUCGUACCCCCUGGUUUAGCACCUCAUGAAAUACUCACAGAAAGACCCAUGGGAAUCCUAAACACCCCGUUCCCACAGAACAGUUUGACACUGACGGGUUGCGAGGAUCAAAUGCUAAGUCCCCUCCUGUUCCAUGGUUUAACAAGCGAUGACCACUCUACUUCCAUUGUCAACUAACUCCUCACAUGAACUGGAAGCCACGUCUCAUGUGGCCCACUCAACCACUGGCACAUUGAAUGUUUCCUCUCCAAGCACGUCAAACCCUGCCCUGCACUGGUCAAGCCUCUGAACACCUCAACUCAUGCCUCAUACCCUCAUUCAAUCACUGCUGUGAUCCCUUCCCAAAAUGGUAAGCCUGAUUCUACUCACUGUGGUAGUGUGGAAGUGUUGAGCUGUAUUAUUUGGCCUGUGGUCCUGUUGUCCCCAGUCCCAGUGGUGAAGAUAAUGUCUUAAUUGAGCUUCUUGUCUGUGACUGAGAUACGUAAUCUGCACAUUUACUAAAACGUCAGCUCUCAUCUCUCCCAAUGUUCUCAAUGUCAAACAAUGAAGGCCGGGUAGUUUUUUUUCAUGAUUGCAACCCAGGUCAUUUUAGUCGGCUGGACCUCGCUACAUAUUCGUCGCCAGACCCACUGGCUCCAGGUCAUCUACAAGUCUAUGCUAGGCAGCCUGGGAAAGAACUGAAAAAACUCACUAAAGAGUCAAGACAGAGACACCAGAAAGACCCAAGAAGACUUGGACGCAGCAUCAGAGGACAGAGAGGGAUGUUCAGAACUCACUCAGUCUGGUUAGAAGAGAAUGACUCCUCAACCCAAGAGGCCCUGGAGCAGCUGUGAGAGAGCAGCAGUGUGGAAACAUUUGGGGAAAUUUAAGGAAGGUUUCCUGGUAAAGAGGAUUGACUGUUACGUAAAGGGUCAGAGCCACUGAGUGGACAAAAUAUUAAGGAUACCUUCCUAAUACUGAGUUACGCCUGGUCAGUUUGUCAUGGAAAGAAAGGUGUCCUUAAUGUUUUGUGUAAAUUACAUAAUAACUAUACAUUUAUGGAUUGAUUUAUAUAGCCUAUUGUUUUCUAUUUAUUCAACCUGCCAUCUACCCACCUGGGGACUGAGGGUUAUGAGAGAACCCCCACAUCACUAGCUUCUCUUUAUUCAACCUGCCAUCUACCCACCUGGGGACUGAGGGUUAUGAGAGAACCCCCAC
RNAcentral lists this long non-coding RNA (1335 nucleotides) under Salmo salar (Atlantic salmon). RNAcentral's name for it is "lncRNA (ENSSSAG00000114729.1)". The record is from RNAcentral. Lineage: Eukaryota; Metazoa; Chordata; Actinopteri; Salmoniformes; Salmonidae.